This 462-nucleotide ribosomal RNA is filed under the name uncultured bacterium. Its description in RNAcentral is "partial 16S ribosomal RNA". It matches the Rfam family "Bacterial small subunit ribosomal RNA", at positions 28 to 507 of the family's 1533-position model. The record is from RNAcentral.
GAUAAGCGCUGGCGGCGUGCUUAACACAUGCAAGUCGAACGAAGUUUUUCUUUCGGGAGGAACUUAGUGGCGGACGGGUGAGUAACGCGUGGGUAACCUGCCCUGUACAGGGGGACAACAGCUGGAAACGGCUGCUAAUACCGCAUAAGCCCUUAGCACUGCAUGGUGCAUAGGGAAAAGGAGCAAUCCGGUACAGGAUGGACCCGCGUCUGAUUAGCCAGUUGGCAGGGUAACGGCCUACCAAAGCGACGAUCAGUAGCCGAUCUGAGAGGAUGUACGGCCACAUUGGGACUGAGACACGGCCCAGACUCCUACGGGAGGCAGCAGUGGGGAAUAUUGCACAAUGGAGGAAACUCUGAUGCAGCGACGCCGCGUGAGUGAAGAAGUAUUUCGGUAUGUAAAGCUCUAUCAGCAGGAAAGAAAAUGACGGUACCUGACUAAGAAGCACCGGCUAAAUACGUG